GGGAGAGAAAGAAGUGUGAUAGUUGUGGUGAUGGUGGUGGUUGUGGUGGUGGUGUGGGAGGGGGGUAGCACUUCACAUUCUUGCCUUAGCCUUUAUCUCUUCUGUUUUGAAAACCUCCUUCAGCAGCAGUGUGUUUAUUUGUGAAUGCGUUUUAGGGCCAGGAAAAGAUACAGCAAGAAGAAGAAGAGAACUGAAAGGGCUGAAAGCUACAGAGGUUACAGGAAACCUGGAGCCUAUCCCAGAGAGCAUCGGGCACAAGGCGGGGUACACCCUGGACAGGGUGCCAAUCCAUCACAGAGCACAAUCACAUACACAUCCAUUCAUACACUAC
Molecule: long non-coding RNA, 331 nt
Organism: Ictalurus punctatus (channel catfish)
Lineage: Eukaryota; Metazoa; Chordata; Actinopteri; Siluriformes; Ictaluridae
Source: Ensembl